This 477-nucleotide ribosomal RNA is filed under the name Aporpium sp. TUFC14542. Its description in RNAcentral is "eukaryotic LSU rRNA". It matches the Rfam family "Eukaryotic large subunit ribosomal RNA", at positions 114 to 591 of the family's 3401-position model. The record is from RNAcentral. Lineage: Eukaryota; Fungi; Basidiomycota; Agaricomycetes; Auriculariales; Aporpiaceae.
UUUGAAAUCUGGCGGUCUCAGGCCGUCCGAGUUGUAAUCUAGAGAGGCGUUUUCCGUGCCGGACCGCGUACAAGUCCCUUGGAACAGGGCGUCAUAGAGGGUGAGAAUCCCGUCCGUGACGCGGACUUCCGGUGCUCUGUGAUACACCUUCAAAGAGUCGAGUUGUUUGGGAAUGCAGCUCAAAAUGGGUGGUAAAUUCCAUCUAAAGCUAAAUACAGGCGAGAGACCGAUAGCGAACAAGUACCGUGAGGGAAAGAUGAAAAGAACUUUGGAAAGAGAGUUAAACAGUACGUGAAAUUGUUGAAAGGGAAACGCUUGAAGUCAGUCGCGUCUGCCGGGACUCAGCCUUGCUUCUGCUUGGUGCACUUCCCGGUAGAUGGGCCAGCGUCGAUUUUGGUCGCCGGAAAAGGGUGGGAGGAAUGUGGCAGCUUGCUGUGUUAUAGCCUUCUAUCGUACACGGUGACUGGGAUCGAGGAC